Molecule: transfer-messenger RNA, 400 nt
Filed under: Bacteroidales bacterium
Lineage: Bacteria; Pseudomonadati; Bacteroidota; Bacteroidia; Bacteroidales
Rfam family: transfer-messenger RNA
About the family: Bacterial tmRNA, also known as 10Sa RNA or SsrA, is named for its dual tRNA and mRNA-like properties. Its role is to liberate the mRNA from a stalled ribosome.
Source: RNAcentral
GGGGCUGACUGGUUUUGACAGCAAGAUGGAUGGUUAUGUAAGCAUGCCGAGCCUUUCGAUGACGCUCGUAAAUCUUGAUCGAGAACAACAAUUGGCGAAAAUAACUACGCUCUCGCAGCGUAAUCGAAGUUUAGUAGAUUACAGCUUUAUCCCGUCAUCAGAUGGUGGGACGAGACAUCUCGCGGGUGGACACGCCUGAUUCCGGCCCGAGUACGAGGUGCUAAUCAACCUCAGGAUAGGUUUGCAAUUGCUUCGCUUGCAAACUGACGUAACAGAAGCUAAGUGGCAGCUCAGGAUGUCUGUGUCCUUUCUGCCAUCGAAAAUCAAUCACAGAAUAAGCAUGUAGAAAGCUUAAUAAUUCCUUGUUUGGACGAGGGUUCGAGUCCCUCCAGUUCCACAA